RNAcentral lists this ribosomal RNA (1128 nucleotides) under Triticum aestivum (bread wheat). Its description in RNAcentral is "partial small subunit ribosomal RNA". The record is from RNAcentral. Lineage: Eukaryota; Viridiplantae; Streptophyta; Magnoliopsida; Poales; Poaceae.
AUGGCCGCCGCCGACCCCAACUGGAUGAUGCUCGACCGCUUCGUCUUCCGCAGGGAUCCCGCCGAGUCCUCCAUCGAAGACCGCAUCUAUUCCUUCUCGGCCAGCCACAUCGCCGGGUCCGUCCCCUUCACCGUCGCUUUCCGCGUCCUCAGCCCCCCGGAGAUCUCCCGCCUCUGCCUGAAGUGGCCGCCUCUGCUAUAUCCAAUGAAUGGUUCUUCGUGCGAUCUCGUGGCGGCGCACGACAACCUCCUCCUGAUCAGCCUCACCUCCAGCCCCGGGACUGUGAACAUGUACAAGUCCCCAGUUUACCCGCAGGAACACUUCAUCUGCAGAGCCUCCACCUCGCCGUCUCAGCCGUCGCUGACGCUCCACAAGAUCCCCAUGUGUACGGAACCGUUGGUCGUGCGUGGGAACAAGGACAAGGUGAUAACUACACAGCGCUCAUUUCAUCCUCACACUGUCGGUAUCUUGUGCCGUGGUGAUGAAGAGUUCGCCGUGGCGCAGCUGAGCUUAAGUAGACCCAAUCUAGUAGCCCGUAUGCAAGCUGACCUGUGCGUGCUCCGCUCCAGUGUACACAACUGUGAUCACAAGUGGGAGGUUGAGCAGCAGCUACCGAUCCAGUGCAAGUUCUCCGAAUCAUCUGACUUGAUCUAUUGGAAAACUGACACAGUCAUCCCUUUCAAGACUGCUCUGUACUGGGUCGACUUCUGCAGCGGAGGUAUGCUAUUCUGUGAUGUCUUCCAGAAAAGGCCUGCAAUCUCUUACCUUCAAUUGCCUAUUUGUAACCGAAAUCCUGGUUAUGAAGUACGCCCAUUUCAUGAUAUGCUCCGUUCUGUGUGCAUCACCAAAGGCGGCCAGGAGCUCAACUUCAUUGAUGUCGUCCGUGAGGAUGAAAAUGGGGAUGGAAUCGACAACGUUUCUGUGGUUACUGUUGAUAUGAAAGCCAAGGAAAUGGUGUCGAGUCAUCCUUACAUUAAGGGUAAUGAAGACCUCCUGGGCAAAGACGCGGAUAUGGUCAGACGAAAGUCCCAUCUUCUCCAGCCAUUUAUUUCCUCCAGGCUUCCAGAGUUCUUCAAUCGCGCCAGGGAGAAAGUGAUCACGGAACUCUUGGACAACCGAAUCCACUGA